UUAGGUUAAGUUAGAAAGGGCGCACGGUGGAUGCCUUGGCACUAGGAGCCGAUGAAGGACGGGACUAACACCGAUAUGCUUCGGGGAGC
Molecule: ribosomal RNA, 89 nt
Filed under: Neobacillus niacini
Lineage: Bacteria; Bacillati; Bacillota; Bacilli; Caryophanales; Bacillaceae
Description: Bacillus niacini partial 23S ribosomal RNA
Rfam family: Bacterial large subunit ribosomal RNA
Source: RNAcentral